GGGAUGCAGCCAACAAGCCAGAGACAGUCUGGUAAAAAGCCCACCCCAGACCAUCUGGAUUAGAAGCCGAAUGGACUGAGCCUUCCAGCAGGAUACUACGUCUGUGAUCAGGAUAUAAGACCAGCACUUCUCCAAAAUGGGUCCUGCAUGAAAACGGAUGAAUUGUGACCACUCUGAAGAUGGUAUCCAAUUCUGGGAUGUCACUAUGUGGCCUGCAGGACUGCUGGGAGUGCUGGAGCCUACUCUCCUCCCCUAAUACAAGCUCUGGAGCAUUAGAGUUCAAUAGAGGGUACUGACUUAUUCACUGCAGACUCUUCAUUGACAGAUUGGUGUAAUGGGGAUUGGCAGCAGUGUGCAGCAGGAAUUGUGGAGGCGUGCGACCAAACUGCCCAUUUGACAUUUGGGCCAGAGCCAAGGCAGAGGCAAAAUGGGAAGCAAACCAUUUCAGAAACCAUUUUAAAGCCACUAUUUGUUGUCUAUUGUGAAAAAUUGCAAAAAAAAUAUUUUA
Molecule: long non-coding RNA, 508 nt
Organism: Pantherophis guttatus
Lineage: Eukaryota; Metazoa; Chordata; Lepidosauria; Squamata; Colubridae
Source: RefSeq, a predicted model, not a curated record